CAUUAGAACUGAGGUCAAGAUUAGAACUCAAGUCCUUCUGACUCCCAGGUCCAGGCUUACACUUCUUUUUCCCUACAGCAGCAGAGAUCCAGCCCUCUUCCUUUGUCCAGGAAAAACCGGGGUGACGAUAAGUGCAGCAAGAGAGCAACCCUGAUGAGCACAGGUCUACGCCAACAACUCCUAGACUUCAAAAAGCCCAGCUGGUCCAACGAAAAGGAAAUUGGAAGACUGAAGAUGGCGAUGAAGAAUGGGGACGGAAGGACCAGGCCCUCGAUCCCUGAGCCAACGAAGCAGGUAAGAAGACCGGUCCCUUUGGGGGUGGGGGUGCUUGAGGUUCCUUAGAUCCAAUUCUAAAACAUGCAAGUCCCAGCUCAGCGAUGUUUGAACAGCUCGCAGUGGAUAAAACGAGCUGCAGUUUGCUGAAUUUAAUUCCAACUAAAAUUGAAAUUUGCCCAAUGAAGACUGUACAGUUGGAAUUCCAGUUAGAAGCGGAGUGGGUUACUCUUCAUCCCGGAUUCUCUGUGAUACGAGAGCGGUGUUGCACUUUCAGGGCCAGAAUGUAAUUUUUCUUUCCCUAGCGGGAACUCUCACAGAAACACAGCGGACUGGAGAAAUUUCAGACCUCUGUUCUUAUCGCUCAGCUUGCUCUACAAGCCCAAGGCGUUGUUGUUUUUAUUAU
Ornithorhynchus anatinus (platypus) is the source of this 679-nucleotide long non-coding RNA. RefSeq lists it as uncharacterized. The record is from RefSeq and is a predicted model, not a curated record. Lineage: Eukaryota; Metazoa; Chordata; Mammalia; Monotremata; Ornithorhynchidae. The transcript has 3 exons.